RNAcentral lists this ribosomal RNA (491 nucleotides) under Acanthogethes fuscus. RNAcentral describes it as "partial 16S ribosomal RNA". It matches the Rfam family "Bacterial large subunit ribosomal RNA", at positions 1814 to 2572 of the family's 2925-position model. Lineage: Eukaryota; Metazoa; Arthropoda; Insecta; Coleoptera; Nitidulidae. The record is from RNAcentral.
CAUGGCCUUUUGUUUUAUUUAUAUAAGGUCUAACCUGCCCAAUGAUUUAAUAUUUAAUGGCCGCGGUACUUUGACCGUGCAAAGGUAGCAUAAUCAUUAGUUUUUUAAUUGAAAGCUGGAAUGAAAGGUUGAAUGAGAAAAUAACUGUCUUUAUUAUAUUUUAUUAGAAUUUUAUCUUUAAGUUAAAAAGCUUAAAUAAUAUUUAUAGACGAGAAGACCCUUUAGAGUUUUAUAAAAAUUUGUUUUUAAUCUUUUAGUAUUAAUAAUUCUAACUAUAAAUUUUUAUUUGAUUGGGGUGAUUGAAAAAUUUAAUGAACUUUUUUUUUUAUUUUACAUUAAUAUAUGAGUAUUUGAUCCAUAAUUUAUGAUUAUAAGAUAAAAUUACCUAAGGGAUAACAGCGUUAUUUUUUUUGAGAGUUCUAAUCGAAAAAAAAGAUUGCGACCUCGAUGUUGGAUUAAAAUUAAAUUAUGGUGUAGGGGCUAUAAUCUUA